CUCUGCUGAAUGUAGGACACGGAGCAAGGGAUCAAGCCGACUGUUGGACUUCAUGUCAACACAUUCGGAUCCAUCCUCCUCUGAGAGCCGCGUUCACAAUGUCUGGUCUCCCGCCUGGGGGCACAGGGCCUGUGUCCUCCCUGGCUUGAGGCUCAAAACAUCAUUCGGAAGAUUUUCUGACUCCUGUUGGGACCAUACAAACACUUAAGUUGUUGUAGUGCAUUCUCCAUAGAAUAAAAAAUGAUGAAGAAGGCAGCUAGAAGAACAGAAAGUAUUUCAGCAGUGCUUGCCUGGGAAGCUCCUAAGAUAACGACAUUCAUUCAUUAAACAUCCUACGUUUAUGCCCCUGCAGAUGACAUUUUCUAAACUCCGUACUAUCACAUAACAAGUGCCUCCUUUCUGCCAGCCAUCAAGAAUAUUGUUCUUUCCUUCCUUACACCUCUCACUGAGAACCCUGUUUUAAGGGCCACCUGGCUUCUGUUAAUAGUCACUCACUUUUUAAUUUUGAUUAAUUCUCACCUUAGAGUUUUUCAAGAUUCCAUUUCCCUACACGUCAUUCAUUCCCCAAACCACUCACAUGUAUAUAUAGCAUUAAUUUUAUCCAGAACCCCACUUACAAAUACUAAAAUCUCACAUAACCCCAAAACUUAGUGAGUUCAUACCAAUUGUGCUCACAAACCUGCAGGUUGGCCAAAGGAUAUUUCAUCUCUGCUCCUGGCUGCCAGCUGAGGAGGUUUGAAGAUUGACUAUUAGAAUCACCUUGGGACUCAUCCAGUCAAAAAGAAGAGGUGGAAACUGUUGGCUGAGGCUGAGGCUGGCCCUGGACUGGGCUAAAACACACACCCAACCAAGAUAUGUGGCUUCUUAUCACCUGCCUUGCAUGAUGGCUGUUUUCCAAGAUGAAGCAUCCCAAGAUAAUAAGGCAGAAGCUUUAUUUCUUUUAUGAAAUAAAAUCUAUAUUAUGUGACUUGUUAUGUAACUUGCAUGAAAGCUACAUAGCAUUACUCUUGCCAUAUUUGACUCUUAGGCAUGUUCAAGAAGAAAAGCACAUGCUCCACCUCUCAGCUAUAGAAAGAACAUUUCUGAUAGAUGAUAUUGCUGUACUUGUCUUUGGUAAUCAUAAUCUGUCACAAAAGAACUUCUUUAGUAAAAAAAAGAAUCCUUGUUUGAUUAAGCCAUCAUAAUCAAGUUACUAUAAUGUACAAAUACUCUGUUAUAGAUGCAUAUUGCAUAUGUUUUUAUUUCAUGUUGUAUAUGCCUCCCCAACUAGACUAUAAAUGCCACUAGAGCAGGGUUUAUUUCUACUUUAUUCUCUAUCCUAUUCAUACUGGCUGUUAAUUUUAAUGAAAAUUGUUGAAAUUCAUUUGCUGAAAACAAUGGACUGCAUGUUCCCUGAAGCAGUAAAAAGAGAAGGCUGAGAGCUGUGGGAGGUAAAGUUUUUCAUCAUGGUUGAGUAUGAAGUUCCAUGUUUUGCCAGACGCUGACCACAGUCCCAAUAGGGCUGAGUCUCAUGGACCCGAAGGGACUUUUGGGCUUGUUAGUGCGCUUGCCUAGAAGUCAGGCUGCUCAGGAAUUUUAAAUGUGUGUGUGUGUGUGUGUGUGUGUGUGUGUGCAUGCCUGUGUGUAUGUGAGUGGGUGUAUAUGCAUGUGUGUACACACAAAUACUAUGAGCGCAAAUAGCAGUUGAAAAACUGAGCAAAGCUCUUUGGCAAUAACUUUCCCAGGACAUUUUAUUGGCAAGCGCAGUUUGUUCUGCAACUUCCUAAUGAAACAGCUUUGAAAUAAACCUGAGUUUGUGCCACAGGGCAAACUGGAAGAAGUGAGAUUGCUUUUUAAUUCAGGUAGUAUGUCAUGAAAAUAUUCUGAUUUCGUAUGGAAAGCCAUGACAAACAAUGUCCAUGUGAGAAUCUCUCAAGCAUUGUAAACAGAAAGCAUAAAAAAAUCCCCAAACAUAGUAGUUGUAUCAUUAGUCGCAUUAUGAUCCCAAGAAAUAAGAUAAACUGCUACUAUUCUUAGAUUUAUUGUUUAGAGAAGUUUCCUAUGGUGUCAUGCAUUGGACUGUCUAAUAAAAACACUCAUGCUUCUUCCAAAGUAUAAAAUCAGUGAUGGAAAAUAAAGCUAUCUCAGAGAAAAAGGGCAACAUUUUUUCCUUCCCUUAGAGCACAUGUGAUUACUUCACCCUCUGAGGAAUGCAUGCUGUAAAUACUGGAUUUAUAGCAACACCUCAGAUAAUUAAUUUUGGGCAUGUGUUUAGGCAUAGAAUUGCCGACUGCCCACAUAAUGCCCCUUUUUGUUCACUCUUAGUCUCAGAAGAAUGUGAUGCUAUAGGACUACUACGUUUAUGUUUUUGUUCAGGAGAAGAAAGUUCAUGUUUUUUAAAAGAGCAAUAUUAUUUUAGCAAUCUGAACCAACUUGUAGGAAAGAAAUAAGGCCUUUUACAAUUUGAAUAAAUGGCUUCAAACCAAUAUGUUAUUUGAAACACUAUUUUACAUGACACAUUCAUUUUUUUGUCUCACCCACACAUAACUCUGCAAAUAGAUUUUGAGUUCAAGCUGUCUCAUGGGUAAAAGUAUACGGCUCAAUGUUUCUGUUGGAUUUAGCUGAGCUCAAAGAGUAUCUGGAUUUGUUGGUCAUGGCAUUCCCUCUUAAACCCUCAAGUGUCUGUUUGAGCCCAGUUAUACCAGAAAAAUUCAACAAUUCAAGGUUUCCUUUUCUGUGUAGAAACAUCUGUGUGCGUGGAUUAAGUUUUAAUAAAUAUAAGCAUAUUAUCAUUUGCUGAAAAAAAAUGACAAAAGAGUAUAUAGCUGGUGGGGUUUUUUUUCUACUUGUUUCAAUAUUUUAAUAAAUUGUAUGAUAUGAUCUAAUUCCUUUUGCUUUAAAAUAGCUCUUUCGGUAAAGAGUCAUGCAGAAAAAAAGUUUCAAAAGAAAAAUUCUGAAAAUGUCUUUAAUAAACUAGUUUGUUGCUUAUAUUUAAACUUUAGUCCUAUUAUUUGCAGUACUGUGUUGUGCACUUAAUAUUUUAUUAAAAGAGUAGAUCUCAUGUAUAAUAUUCUUACAAUAUACACAUACACAUAUAUACAAACAAAAAGAUACAAAGAAAUGCUUGGUGAUCAUGUUAAUUAUUUUGGAUGGAGUCCUGUGGAACACUCCGAAUCAGCCCCGCUGCAGACAGGCAGGUCUGUGCACGCCCUACCGAGGUCCUGAG
Long non-coding RNA from Heterocephalus glaber (naked mole-rat), 3205 nucleotides. Lineage: Eukaryota; Metazoa; Chordata; Mammalia; Rodentia; Bathyergidae. The record is from Ensembl.